GCGCUUGACACACCGCCUCUGUGGAAUCUGUUCCUCUAGUCCUGCCGAGAAUCCUCCUUCUCCGAGCUCUUUUCUCUGUGGAUUCCGGAAAAACGAGGGAGAUGCGGCACCGUGAGGACGGAAGAGAAAGUUCUCACACACUCAAGGUACAGUACAAAGAACAUUCAGAACCCUGCCUAUCCACACUACUUGGAGAGGUGCGCCGCUGAUUCUCAGGACUUCAUUGAAACUCCCAAGACUUGGUGGUGACUCAACAGACUUCUUCAAGAAGCGUGUCCUCUUUGCUUUCGGGACAGUGCGUAGAAGAGCUAAGAAUGGUUCGUUGUGGUAGGCUUUCCUACAAUACAGCCUUUAACAAAACUAGGCUCGCUCGAAGCCUCCGGGAAAGGAGUGUUUUACCUGUAAGCCGAUAAAGUUGGGAGAAGCACCAAAAUCUUCGUGCUGUGGGAGCUGAGUCCUUUCGAGAUUGUCUAAAACAAACAAGUUUCUAGCAGAGCCGAUGCACUGGAUUAAAGGCAGGUGGAUCUCUGUG
Onychomys torridus (southern grasshopper mouse) is the source of this 532-nucleotide long non-coding RNA. RefSeq lists it as uncharacterized. The transcript is spliced from 3 exons. The record is from RefSeq and is a predicted model, not a curated record. NCBI's taxonomy places the organism in Eukaryota, Metazoa, Chordata, Mammalia, Rodentia, Cricetidae.